GGAUGCAUAUUUAGCUUCGGAAACGAGGAAAGUCCGCCCACCCUAGAAAGUGCCAGUGCUGUUAAAGCAUGCGGAGAAAUCUGCGGCAACCGCACAGAAACGAUACCGGCUUGUUUAAGUGUGAUGGUGUAAAACACCUGACGUUUACAAGAAUACGGAUGAAACGGCGAGUCCUGGUUGGUGCAAGUCCAGUGAGAUACGUUUUGCAAAAAACGUACCAUCCCGCGACGCUUAGUUAAAUGCUAAAAAGGAGCAUCGUUGCACAAUGCAACAUUUAAGGUUCCUACAAAAGGUGGCUUAUUUGCAUCC
RNAcentral lists this RNase P RNA (309 nucleotides) under Candidatus Woesearchaeota archaeon. RNAcentral's name for it is "RNase P RNA component". It matches the Rfam family "Archaeal RNase P". From Rfam's summary of the family: Ribonuclease P (RNase P) is a ubiquitous endoribonuclease, found in archaea, bacteria and eukarya as well as chloroplasts and mitochondria. Its best characterised activity is the generation of mature 5'-ends of tRNAs by cleaving the 5'-leader elements of precursor-tRNAs. The record is from RNAcentral. Lineage: Archaea; Nanobdellati; Candidatus Woesearchaeota.